Molecule: ribosomal RNA, 505 nt
Filed under: uncultured bacterium
Lineage: Bacteria
Description: bacterial SSU rRNA
Rfam family: Bacterial small subunit ribosomal RNA
Source: RNAcentral
GACGAACGCUGGCGGCGUGGAUUAGGCAUGCAAGUCGAACGGUAUCAUCCUUUCGGGGAUGAGAGAGUGGCGAACGGGUGAGUAACACGUAGGUGAUCUACCCUCAAGACGGGGACAACCCAGGGAAACUUGGGCUAAUACCGGAUGUGAGCUAUCGCGAGAUAGUUUGAAAGGUGGCUUCGGCUGCCGCUUGAGGAUGAGCCUGCGUCCUAUUAGCUAGUUGGUGAGGUAACGGCUCACCGAGGCGAUGAUAGGUAGGCGGCCUUAACGGGUGGUCGCCCACACUGGGAUUGAGAUACGGCCCAGACUCCUACGGGAGGCAGCAGUCGAGAAUAGUCUACAAUGGUCGAAAGACUGAUAGUGCGACGCCGCGUGAACGAAGAAGCCCUCGGGUGUAAGUUACUUUAUUAUGUGAGCAGUGAGCCCACUAUUAAUAAGUAUGGUGGUAGAGAUAUUAGUCAUAUGAAUAAGACGAACGGACCGUAACUUACCCGUCGUCCGACGG